UACGGAGGAUCCGAGCGUUAUCCGGAUUUAUUGGGUUUAAAGGGUGCGCAGGCGGGAAAUUAAGUCGGCGGUGAAAUUUUGCGGCUCAACCGUAAAAGUGCCUUCGAUACUGGUGGUCUUGAGUGUGGAUGAGGUAGGCGGAAUUUGUGGUGUAGCGGUGAAAUGCAUAGAUAUCACGAGGAACUCCGAUUGCGCAGGCAGCUUACUAAACUACUACUGACGCUCAGGCACGAAGGCGUGGGGAUCAAACAGGAUUAGAUACCCGCGUAGUCCCU
RNAcentral lists this ribosomal RNA (275 nucleotides) under uncultured prokaryote. Its description in RNAcentral is "partial 16S ribosomal RNA". It matches the Rfam family "Bacterial small subunit ribosomal RNA", at positions 524 to 798 of the family's 1533-position model. The record is from RNAcentral.